UUGAUAGAAAAGUGGCAGUAUCGUAGCCAAUGAGGUUUAUCCGAGGCGCGAUUAUUGCUAAUUGAAAAGUUGGUUAUUCAUCCUUUCUGAUGGAGGUGUAAUAUUCCAUUGUGUAUAUGAACCACAUCUUCUUUACUCAUUCAUGU
This is a small nuclear RNA of Neogale vison (American mink), 146 nucleotides long. RefSeq annotates it as U4 spliceosomal RNA. Lineage: Eukaryota; Metazoa; Chordata; Mammalia; Carnivora; Mustelidae. The record is from RefSeq and is a predicted model, not a curated record. The transcript has a single exon.